RNAcentral lists this unclassified non-coding RNA (241 nucleotides) under Hevea brasiliensis (rubber tree). The record is from RNAcentral. Lineage: Eukaryota; Viridiplantae; Streptophyta; Magnoliopsida; Malpighiales; Euphorbiaceae.
UGCUGACUCUCCCCGACAAGCUGUCGAAUGACAAAGCCUACGCGGAUCGUAUCGACGGAUUGAAGCGCGAUCUCCUUGCGCGCCCCGAGCUUGCUGCGCUGACGCGCGACAUCUGGGCCAACGUCAAGUCGUUCAUCGACAGGAGCGCGAGCGGCGAGAGCAAUGUGCUGCAACAUCACCUGACCAAUGUGUUCCUGGAAGCCGGCAGGCAGCUCGCAACCGACAGUGAGAUGCGCGCGGA